AAUUGUUGGUAAAUACUUGCAGCCGUACCACGUGGUAACCAUGUGCUGCAAGCAUACACGGCGAGGAGGCUGUAAACAAACAUUUUCCAGUCUAAACGGAUGAUUUAGCAGCCGUGACUAAAAAUGAUAGACAAUAAUACUAAUUCAAGGUUAGUAUUUACACGGUGCAUUGUUUUUGGUCGUUGUAAAAUGUGCUGGUUGGUUCUUAAAAUCAUCAUAUCACAAGGACCGGGGUUCUGGCAAGCCAGUGCCCUUAAAGAAAAAUAUCCCACAAUAAGAUAACUCAUCUCGUCAGUCGACCCCAUGUAUAACCCUAUCAAUAUUUUAGCUACGGUGUCAAUAGUUUAUCCAUUGACAGCAGCUGAAUCACAUUCCUCAUAGUGUUAGUUAGGUACAUAUAUAUACAUGCAGUUAAUUCUUGUUGUGAGGUUUGUGUCCCCAAUUUGAUUUGGGAUGGACCGACGAGAGAGUGAUUGUGAUUGAUGAUUUCAGGGAGAUAUGUCAGACUCCUGUGGCAUGAUAUUUUACAUAUGAUCACAUGUAUUUAUAAGCAAACUUAUAAAAAAAAAUCUAUUCAAUGCUAAUUAAUUUAAUUAAUUUCAUUUUCAUUUCCUUACUUAGAUUUUCUCUUAUCAAGAGUUCA
Molecule: long non-coding RNA, 643 nt
Filed under: Mytilus galloprovincialis (Mediterranean mussel)
Lineage: Eukaryota; Metazoa; Mollusca; Bivalvia; Mytilida; Mytilidae
Source: RNAcentral